RNAcentral lists this transfer RNA (76 nucleotides) under Candidatus Paracaedimonas acanthamoebae. RNAcentral's name for it is "tRNA-Lys". It matches the Rfam family "tRNA". Rfam says of the family: Transfer RNA (tRNA) molecules are approximately 80 nucleotides in length. The record is from RNAcentral. RNAcentral also lists the same sequence under 8 other names. Lineage: Bacteria; Pseudomonadati; Pseudomonadota; Alphaproteobacteria; Holosporales; Caedimonadaceae.
GGGCGCUUAGCUCAGUUGGUAGAGCAGCUGACUCUUAAUCAGCGGGUCGUAGGUUCGAUCCCUACAGCGCCCACCA